CCUGCCGCGUGAGUGAUGAAGGCCUUAGGGUUGUAAAGCUCUUUCAGUGGGGAAGAUAAUGACGGUACCCACAGAAGAAGCACCGGCUAACUACGUGCCAGCAGCCGCGGUAAUACGUAGGGUGCAAGCGUUAUCCGGAAUUAUUGGGCGUAAAGAGCUCGUAGGCGGUCUGUCGCGUCUGCUGUGAAAACCCGAGGCUCAACCUCGGGCCUGCAGUGGGUACGGGCAGACUAGAGUGCGGUAGGGGAGAUUGGAAUUCCUGGUGUAGCGGUGGAAUGCGCAGAUAUCAGGAGGAACACCGAUGGCGAAGGCAGAUCUCUGGGCCGUAACUGACGCUGAGGAGCGAAAGCGUGGGGAGCGAACAGGAUUAGAUACCCUGGUAGUCCACGCCGUAAACGUUGGGAACUAGAUGUGGGGGCCAUUCCACGGCUUCCGUGUCGCAGCUAACGCAUUAAGUUCCCCGCCUGGGGAGUACGGCCGCAAGGCUAAAACUCAAAGGAAUUGACGG
RNAcentral lists this ribosomal RNA (508 nucleotides) under uncultured bacterium. Its description in RNAcentral is "bacterial SSU rRNA". It matches the Rfam family "Bacterial small subunit ribosomal RNA", at positions 393 to 916 of the family's 1533-position model. The record is from RNAcentral.